CGCCGAACGUGACGGCGGUGCUGGAGAAGGCCGGGCAGUACACCAAGUUCAUCCGGCUGAUGGCGUCGACGCAGCAGGACACGCAGCUGAACGCGCAGGCCAACGAGUCGGACACGGGCUUCACGGUGUUCGCCCCCACCGACAACGCCUUCAACAGCCUCAAGCCGGGCACCCUCAACUCGCUCUCGCAGCAGGACCAGGUGACGCUCGUGCAGGCGCACAUCGUCCCCACCUUCUACUCCAUGGAGUCCUUCGAGACCGCCAGCAACCCCGUCCGCACCCAGGCCUCCGGCACCGACGGGCCCUGCACCGUCAACGUCACCGCCACCAGCAACAGCGCCGUCAACGUCUCCACCGGCAUCGUACACACCACCGUCGGCACCGCGCUGCGCGCCACCAGGCCGCUCGCCGUCUACUCCGUCGACAAGGUGCUGCUGCCCAUGGACCUCUUCGGCCCCAAGCCGCCGGCGU
Molecule: long non-coding RNA, 471 nt
Filed under: Hordeum vulgare
Lineage: Eukaryota; Viridiplantae; Streptophyta; Magnoliopsida; Poales; Poaceae
Description: long non-coding RNA (HVUL_LNC002344)
Source: RNAcentral